GACGAACGCUGGCGGCGUGCCUAAUACAUGCAAGUUGAGCGAUGAAGAUUGGUGCUUGCACCAAUUUGAAGAGCAGCGAACGGGUGAGUAACGCGUGGGGAAUCUGCCUUUGAGCGGGGGACAACAUUUGGAAACGAAUGCUAAUACCGCAUAACAACUUUAAACAUAAGUUUUAAGUUUGAAAGAUGCAAUUGCAUCACUCAAAGAUGAUCCCGCGUUGUAUUAGCUAGUUGGUGAGGUAAAGGCUCACCAAGGCGAUGAUACAUAGCCGACCUGAGAGGGUGUUCGGCCCCAUUGGGACUGAGACACGGCCCAAACUCCUACGGGAGGCAGCAGUAGGGAAUCUUCGGCAAUGGACGAAAGUCUGACCGAGCAACGCCGCGUGAGUGAAGAAGGUUUUCGGAUCGUAAAGCUCUGUUGGUAGAGAAGAACGUUGGUGAGAGUGGAAAGCUCAUCAAGUGACGGUAACUACCCAGAAAGGGACGGCUAACUACGUG
Molecule: ribosomal RNA, 497 nt
Filed under: uncultured bacterium
Lineage: Bacteria
Description: partial 16S ribosomal RNA
Rfam family: Bacterial small subunit ribosomal RNA
Source: RNAcentral